AGAUGAAGAACGCAGCGAAAUGCGAUAAGUAGUGUGAAUUGCAGAAUUCAGUGAAUCAUCGAAUCUUUGAACGCACAUUGCGCCCCUUGGUAUUCCAUGGGGCAUGCCUGUUCGAGCGUCAUUUUGUACCCUCAAGCUUUGCUUGGUGAUGGGUGUUUGUUCCGCUGCAACGCGUGAACUCGCCUCAAAUCAAUUGGCAGCCGGCAAUCUGGUGUUUGAGCGCAGCACAUUUUGCGCUCUUCGCUGUGUAUUGCGGGCGUCCAUGAAGCCUAUAUUUUCACGCUUGACCUCGGAUCAGGUAGGGAUACCCGCUGAACUUAAGCAUAUCAAUAAGCGGAGGA
RNAcentral lists this unclassified non-coding RNA (341 nucleotides) under soil metagenome. RNAcentral's name for it is "partial contains 5.8S ribosomal RNA, internal transcribed spacer 2, and large subunit ribosomal RNA". The stretch from base 2 to 121 matches the Rfam family "5.8S ribosomal RNA", at positions 35 to 154 of the family's 154-position model. The record is from RNAcentral.